Molecule: non-coding RNA, 27 nt
Filed under: Mus musculus (house mouse)
Lineage: Eukaryota; Metazoa; Chordata; Mammalia; Rodentia; Muridae
Source: RNAcentral
CAAAAUUAGCUACUUUAAGUUUGGCAC